Molecule: non-coding RNA, 2695 nt
Organism: Callithrix jacchus (white-tufted-ear marmoset)
Lineage: Eukaryota; Metazoa; Chordata; Mammalia; Primates; Cebidae
Source: RefSeq, a predicted model, not a curated record
GUUUUCCUCGACUUUACACUGAUCAGGUUACUGACUCUUCUGAGCUUUAAUGGCCUCGUUACUAACGUGGAGAUAAUAAUCCAUACCAGGGAGGAUUUAGGGAUUCAGUGAGAGUCUACAGAGGGCACCUGGCCUUGGGUUUGGCACAUGGCGGCGCCCAGGAAGUGGCAGCUCUUCCGUCUGGGACCCUCCCUCUCCCCGGGCCUGUAUCUUGUGACUCCUGCAGGGCCCUUCACUGAGCCAUUUGCUUCCUGCCUUACCUAGAGGUCGAAGGUGUAACUUUUUCUCAUUCCAAGGAAGUGCAGUUCCUCAAAUGCUUCUUGAACACCAGCAACAGGGUCCACAUUGAGACCAGAGGAGCCGGGAGCCACUCUGCUGCCACUUUGCCUCUAGGACACUCAAGGCCAAAUGACAGAGAGGAGCAGAGCCCGGGUCCUACUCCAAUCCCAGGAAUCUGGGGGCCUGGGUCCAGAGCAAAAGCAUGGAGCCCAAAGCACAUGGACAGUGUCUGCAGGGAAGCCUGGCUCAAGAACUCAGCAGACUGUCAGCUCUGGGUCCAAUUCCAAGACGCUCCCAAGGCCCGAGUCUUGCUCUGUCCCCCAGGCUGCAGUGCAGUGGUACAAUCUUUGUUCACUGCAGCCUCUGCCUCCCGGAUUCAAGCCAUUCUCCUGCCUCAGCCUCCCGAGCAACUGGGACUACAGGUAUGUGCCACUGCACCUGGCUAAUUUUUGUAUUUUUAGUAGAGAUGGGGCUUCAGCACGUUGACUAGGCUUGUCUCAAACUCCUGGCCUCAAGUGAUCCACCUGCCUUGGCCUCCGGAAAUGCUGGGAUUACAGGCAUGAGCCACUGUGCCCAGCCUGAUUGCUACUUUUUAAAGUGGAGAGAACACUCUUAGCACAUUUUUAUUCGUAUCUGAUAUCAAAAGAAAUAACAUCACGCACUUGUAACUCUGCAAACCCAUGGUGAGGGCAGUCCUGCCCUUGGACUGGGGAGAAGGAAACCCUUGGGACAGGCUCAUCACGAGUUCUCCUUAUGGGAAAGGAAAUCAGAAUUCCUCGUCCAGACAGAGAGAAGAACCAAAGGGGACCACGACUUGAGAAAACGUGGCAUGACUGAAGGCAAAGCUCACUUAAAAAGAUGAGAAAAUAUGUUUUAUAAUUCAAGGUUUGUUCUUUUUAGAAAUUAAUAUUCUAUAAAAGUAUCAGGGAAAGCAAAAGAUAAGUCUGCUGAAUUAUUUGUGCACUUCUCUCGUGUGGCUCUGGAGUGCCUGGAUGCCAUGUUUGGCCAUCCCCAGACACCCUCCCCACCCUUCUUCUCUUGCACCCUCCAUUCUUCUCUGAGACCCCAUGGCUUUGUCUCACGUUCCACCAUGGGUUUUGGAAGAUGACAUCACACACCUUCCUCUCUUCACUGAGCAUUUUAACAUAUUUCUUUCUUUUUUUUUGAGACGGAGUUUCGCUCUUGUUACCCAGGCUGGAGUGCAAUGGCGCAAUCUCGGCUCACCGCAACCUCCGCCUCCUGGGUUCAGGCAAUUCUCCUGCCUCAGCCUCCUGAGUAGCUGGGAUUACAGGCACGCGCCACCAUGCCCAGCUAAUUUUUGUAUUUUCACUAAGAUGGGGUUUCACCAUGUUGACCAGGAUGGUCUCGAUCUCUUGACCUCAUGAUCCACCCGCCUCGGUCUCCCAAAGUGCUGGGAUUACAGGCUUGAGCCACCGCACCCGGCCACAUUUUAACAGUAUAAAAACCAUCAGCUAAGUUUCCUCCAAGUCCCCCAAACCAAUCUGGCUCCCUUUUUACCCCUCUUUGUAUACGAGGGCUUGUAUCAGAUUUUAUUUCAAAAGGGGUCCUGCAGCUACCGCUGGCCUUGGGAACUCUUACAGACUGCACUCCAGAAGGAAGGAGGAGGCAAUGUUCACAUAGCUGGAUCACCCCAACCUCGCCCGCCAAGUUCGCCAUUUCCCUUGCAAUGGAAAGAAAAAACCCUGGCCCAUGGGGUGCUCCGGAAAGGUGACCGAUUCACUUUCUUUUCUCUUCUUUUUUAAGAGGAGUCUCACUGUGUCAUCCCAGCUGCAGUGCAGUGGCUCAAUCUUGGCUCACUGCAACCUCCGCCUCCCGGGUUCGAGUGAUUCUCCUGCCUCAGCCUCUGGGGUAGCUGGGACUACAGACACUUUCUUCUUUCACUUUUACUGACGGACACUUGUUCAGAGGGAGACAGCCCAGGUGCUCUGGCCUGAGGCUCUGACCAAAAAUUUUGUCAACGCCACUUUAAAGUUAAAGAAGUAUUAAUUUUGAAGCUUUGGCCAGGUGUGUGUGUGUGUGUGUGUGUGUGUGUGUGUGUCCAAAGGUGGUAACUUUCGGAUGGGUCUUCCUUGCUUCGUAAAAAGAUAUUAGCUGCCCUUUCAGUGUGGAAGUUGAGGCCCAGGACAGUUUGAAUGAGGAGGUUGGGGCAAAGGAAGACAACGCCCGUUUUCUCUGAGUAGCUGUGCUGCAGAAGCGGACGUUCAAAGCACCUGCCAACUACUCCAUGGUUUCCCAGCUGGAGGAGCCCUGCCCUGCACCCUCGCAGCAGCCCUGAGGCAGACACCCCAGGGAGCACCUGCCUGGGGCACCCCAAGCUGGCAGCAGCAUACAGAGUGGUCAGAAAUGUGCCGUUAACUCUGGAAGGGCUGCUUAAUAAAUCACAGUUUUACUUCCC